Molecule: ribosomal RNA, 253 nt
Filed under: uncultured archaeon
Lineage: Archaea
Description: partial 16S ribosomal RNA
Rfam family: Archaeal small subunit ribosomal RNA
Source: RNAcentral
UACCAGCUCCCCGAGUGGUAGGGGCUAUUAUUGGGCCUAAAGCGUCCGUAGCUGGUUUUGCAAGUCUCUUGUUAAAUCCAACGAUUCAAUCGUUGGACUGCGGGAGAUACUGCAGAACUAGGAGGCGGAAGAAGCCGACGGUACUCUUGGGGUAGGGGUAAAAUCUUAUAAUCCCAGGAGGACCACCAGUGGCGAAAGCGGUCGGCUAGAACGCGCUCGACGGUGAGGGACGAAAGCUGGGGGAGCGAUCCGG